RNAcentral lists this ribosomal RNA (495 nucleotides) under uncultured bacterium. Its description in RNAcentral is "bacterial SSU rRNA". It matches the Rfam family "Bacterial small subunit ribosomal RNA", at positions 17 to 507 of the family's 1533-position model. The record is from RNAcentral.
UCCUGGCUCAGGAUGAACGCUAGCGGCAGGCUUAAUACAUGCAAGUCGUGGGGCAGCAUGAGUAGCAAUACUUGAUGGCGACCGGCAAACGGGUGAGGAACACGUACACAACCUUCCUUCAAGCGGGGAAUAGCCCAGAGAAAUUUGGAUUAAUACCCCAUAAUAUAUUUGAUAAGGCAUCUUAUUAAUAUUAAAGCUUCGGCACUUGAUGAUGGGUGUGCGGCUGAUUAGAUAGUUGGCGGGUAACGGCCCACCAAGUCUACGAUCAGUAGCUGAUGUGAGAGCAUGAUCAGCCACACGGGCACUGAGACACGGGCCCGACUCCUACGGGAGGCAGCAGUAAGGAAUAUUGGACAAUGGACGAAAGUCUGAUCCAGCCAUGCCGCGUGAAGGAUUAAGGUCCUCUGGAUUGUAAACUUCUUUUAUAUGGGACGAAAAAAGGGCAUUCUUGUUCACUUGACGGUACCAUAUGAAUAAGCACCGGCUAACUCCGUG